This 400-nucleotide ribosomal RNA is filed under the name uncultured bacterium. Its description in RNAcentral is "bacterial SSU rRNA". It matches the Rfam family "Bacterial small subunit ribosomal RNA", at positions 355 to 747 of the family's 1533-position model. The record is from RNAcentral.
UGGGGAAUUUUGGACAAUGGGGGCAACCCUGAUCCAGCCAUGCCGCGUGUCUGAAGAAGGCCUUCGGGUUGUAAAGGACUUUUGUCUGGGAGCAAAUGCUGGUGGCUAACAUCCACCGGAGCUGAGAGUACCGGAAGAAUAAGCACCGGCUAACUACGUGCCAGCAGCCGCGGUAAUACGUAGGGUGCAAGCGUUAAUCGGAAUUACUGGGCGUAAAGCGUGCGCAGGCGGUCAGACAAGCCAGAUGUGAAAGCCCCGAGCUCAACUUGGGAACUGCGUUUGGAACUGUUUGACUAGAGUGCGUCAGAGGGGGGUGGAAUUCCGCGUGUAGCAGUGAAAUGCGUAGAGAUGCGGAGGAACACCGAUGGCGAAGGCAGCCCCCUGGGAUGACACUGACGCU